RNAcentral lists this ribosomal RNA (441 nucleotides) under uncultured bacterium. RNAcentral's name for it is "partial 16S ribosomal RNA". It matches the Rfam family "Bacterial small subunit ribosomal RNA", at positions 338 to 795 of the family's 1533-position model. The record is from RNAcentral.
CCUACGGGUGGUUGCAGUGAGGAAUAUUGGUCAAUGGCCGGAAGGCUGAACCAGCCAUGCCGCGUGAGUGAAGAAGGUCUUCGGAUUGUAAAGCUCUUUCGGACGUGACGAUGAUGACGGUAGCGUCUAAAGAAGCACCGGCAAACUUCGUGCCAGCAGCCGCGGUAAUACGAAGGGUGCGAGCGUUGUUCGGAAUUACUGGGCGUAAAGGGAGUGUAGGUGGCAUAAUAAGUAGCUAGUGAAAUCUGGUGGCUCAACCAUUCCGACUAUUAGCUAAACUGUUAAGCUCGAGACCGUUAGGGGUAACUGGAAUUUCUAGUGUAGGAGUGAAAUCCGUAGAUAGUAGAAGGAACACCAAUAGCGUAGGCAGGUUGCUGGGACGGUUCUGACACUAAGGCACGAAAGCGUAGGGAGCAAACGGGAUUAGAUACCCCUGUAGUC